UGUCCGAACAGGCUAGCACAAGACGGUCUGCUAAAGACCAUACUUUCACUCUGCCAGGUGGCGUCAAUAGUGCACUGCACGUGAAUCUGGAUUAAUGACGCUUAUAGAAGGUAAAUAGAUUUUCUGGGACAAUAAAUAGGGCAAGUCUGUAGUGAAGUGUGGUCAGCAGAAUGAUAAGGUGAUAAGAUCUUCAGUGAAGUUGUAUCAGAAAUUCUUCAGUGUUUAAAUUAUGAAAUUAUAUAGAUGCUAUUAAUUUUAAAAUAAAACUGGUUAAUUAUAAUAACAAUGUAAGGAUUUAUAUACUCGAUAAAUGGAAUUAGUCUCAUAUGAGAGCAGAGAAUACAUACACGAAAUACAAAGAGAGUAAAUUGUGAAGUGCCAUUUUUUAAAUGUUUUGGUUAAAUAUAUCAGCGAGAGCCAUUUUAAUACUUUCCAUUCUGCACUACCGCAUCUUUUCGUUUGUGAACUUUAUAAAAUAAAGCAGAAGAAGCAACUGAGUGAGGUAACAGUAUGGUGGCACUAGACACAUCUACUAGACCUGAUUUCAACUUCAUAGCAACGCCAACAUCACUAGACUGGAUCGGAGAGAAAAUUCAAAUGCAUUGCCAACUACAUACAUCAUUUCAUCUUGCGAUGGACAUGACUUAUGGAAAACCCUGGAGGUACCACAUUCACUGGUGUACAAGGCCCACGUGUAAAGUAGGACAGCACACAGACACGUGGAGUUUCCCCGAAGACGUGAGGUGACUGAGGAAGAAAUUGGGAUUUGAUUUCUGUUGCAGUUGGCAUUCGCGUUCUACAGUUGUAGAAACUUUGAAACACCUCAUCGAAUUACCGAACGUAAAACAAUGGAAGAUAUCGUAGCAGAAUUGCACAAUGCCUGGCUUGAGUUCAUGGUAUGCUCUUUAUGCAAGAAGUACAUACUUCCUCCAGUUAUCGAAAUAUGCACCAACGGUCACAAUGGAUGUGAGACAUGCGUCACGCAGUUAACAGUAUGCCCGAUUUGUAAACUUCCGGCUGACAAAUACCAGAACACAGGAAUUGAAGAAGCGUGUAGGAGCGCGAAUAUCAGGGUCCCCUGUAACAAUCGAUCCUGGGGCUGCAGCGAAAGAUCUCUCAUCGACGAUAUGAGAAAUCACUCGAUAGUCUGCGUGCACCAGCAAAUCCCGUGUCCAUUUGCUUCUUCUGACUCUCCUUGUUCGUGGUGUGGCCCCAUAAGCGGUCUGCAACGACACAUGAUAGAAAAACAUCACGACUGUAGGGUCGUUAUUACACAAGAAGAACCUAUACAUUUGUCUUAUUCUUGUGAAACUCAGAAAUUGGUUGUAAUAAGAGGUAUUGAAAUAUUUCUUAUCUUAACCCUUUUGAGGGAACCCUGUGUUUCGAAAUACUACUGCACCACUGUGAAAUAUGUUGGACCAAAACAUAACGCCGAUAAGUACAUAUACGAAGUUAAUAUAGCUGGUGGAUAUAAACACGAAAUACAAGACGAUAUUAGGGAUCCGGAAAUGGUAACUGAGUCUGGAGGUCAUAUCCACGUGUUCAAUACAACUAGUAACGUAACAGUUCCCGUUCGAGAAUGCAAAUAUUAUAUAACAAUUAGUAGACAUUCCCAAUCGUCUGUAUCAGACGAUGAUUCCGACUCAGAAAAUGCCUCAGAUUAUGAAUCGUCAUAAUUUGGCCACGAUGUCUAUGCUGUAAGUACAAAGACGUAAAAGCACGUGGACAGCUCAUAGGCCAGACGAUUGCAGCCAAGGAACAGAGGUUA
This is a non-coding RNA of Zootermopsis nevadensis, 1768 nucleotides long. The record is from RefSeq and is a predicted model, not a curated record. Lineage: Eukaryota; Metazoa; Arthropoda; Insecta; Blattodea; Termopsidae.